RNAcentral lists this ribosomal RNA (397 nucleotides) under uncultured bacterium. RNAcentral describes it as "bacterial SSU rRNA". It matches the Rfam family "Bacterial small subunit ribosomal RNA", at positions 28 to 428 of the family's 1533-position model. The record is from RNAcentral.
AUUGAACGCUGGCGGCAUGCUUUACACAUGCAAGUCGAACGGCAGCACGGGGGCAACCCUGGUGGCGAGUGGCGAACGGGUGAGUAACACGUGGGUGACCUGCCCUCAGCUCUGGGAUAAGCCUGGGAAACCGGGUCUAAUACCGGAUAUGACUCCAUGACGCAUGUUGUGGGGUGGAAAGCCUUGUGCGGCUGAGGAUGGGCCCGCGGCCUAUCAGCUGUUGGUGGGUGAUGGCCUACCAAGGCGACGACGGGUAGCCGGCCUGAGAGGGCGACCGGCCACACUGGGACUGAGACACGGCCCAGACUCCUACGGGAGGCAGCAGUGGGGAAUCUUGCGCAAUGGGCGAAAGCCUGACGCAGCGACGCCGCGUGAGGGAUGACGGCCUCGGUUGUAA